GCCUCGGUGGUCGAGUUGGUUAAGACGCUCGGCCCGUUAAGCCGUGAGAUCCUAGGUUCAAAUCCUGGCCGAGGCA
Non-coding RNA from Wasmannia auropunctata (little fire ant), 76 nucleotides. The record is from the annotation of a RefSeq genome assembly. Lineage: Eukaryota; Metazoa; Arthropoda; Insecta; Hymenoptera; Formicidae.